AUUUUAAAAUUUAAAAUUGAGUUGACAAUUUAAGACAUAAAAUUAAUUUACGAUUGAUUGGAAUUAAAACUUAAAAAAUGUAAUUUAAAUUAUAAUUUGAAUAUACAAACUUAAUUUAAAUUUUAAAUAAAAUUUAAAAUAUAAAAUUUGAAUGUAAAUUUAAAUUUAUAUACCAAAUACAAAAUGCUGAUUCAAUUUAAAUUUCAAUUUCAGUGCAAAUCAAUAUCUAAAAUCUAAAAUUUAGUUUCUAAUUUAAAAUAAUAUUUUAAUUAAAAAUUAAAGUUAAAUUUUAUAAAUAUAUAAAAUAUAAUUGAGAUAUUUGUGUAACAAACAUUUAUUCUACUCAUAUUCAAAUGAGAGAUCUCAUUCCACCAGAAAAUCGGAAUAGGAUGAGACUCUCAUAUACCAAAUUCUUGCAAAUGGAAUAAGUUCAUUUCUACUAUGAUUGGUUGAUAGAAAAAGAAUGAUCAAACAAGUUAUAACAUUUUUCUUUCUCUUCUCCAAUAAGGAGGUUUUUUUGUUUGUUCUUUUCUUUUCUUUCUUCAGUCUUCCUUACUAUUCUCUUCCGACUAAAAAAAGUUGCAGUAAUAUGAAUAGCUAACUAGUAAAGUUAUCCGCGCAUUGCGGCGGGCUGAUACUAUGAGAGACAGAAGAUUGACAAACUAAAAUAUUUUAAAAUUUUUUCACUUGUCAUGAGAAAUCAAUAAAUACAAAUAAAAGAUAUAAAACAGAUAUAACAACAUUUAUAAUUUCAACAAAUAAAUUAUACGCGAUAAUAAUUAAAAAAAAAAGCAAUAAAACACUACUCCAUACGCACCUUAAUUGUGUUGCUGAUAUCGGAAAGGCGAAUCUUGAUCUCCACUUCUUAUUCACUGCUAUUAUUAACGUCGAGUUUCUGUUUAAUCACGAUAAUACAUAUCUUAUUUUAUUUAUUUUUUUAUAAUAUUGAUUUAUUUAGAUGACAAUGAAUGUGAACAUAUUAAUUAAGAAAUUGCCAUAUGAGAAGACGAAACAUCACAUGAAGAUAAAAGAGAAUAAAUUCGAUCAUUAGGAAUUAGGAAGAAGGCAAAGAUGGGAGAAGAAGGCAAGAAUGAAGGAAACUUUGUCAUGUGGCAAAGUUUAUGAGGAAUAAUGUAUAAGGUAAGGUAUAGAAGGUAUAGAUAACUACACAUGAAACAUAUAAAA
This 1185-nucleotide long non-coding RNA is filed under the name Ananas comosus (pineapple). Its description in RNAcentral is "long non-coding RNA (ACOM_LNC031972)". Lineage: Eukaryota; Viridiplantae; Streptophyta; Magnoliopsida; Poales; Bromeliaceae. The record is from RNAcentral.